GGUCGACAAUAACAAAAUAUUACUCCCGUGGUCAUCACUUUUUUUUUAAAGACAUGAAGUCUUCGCUUUGCUCUGCAGACAUGGCCAAGUCUAUGUUUGUGAUUUUAUAUUUUUGACCAGUCAAUCUAAGGGGUAGCUGCCAACGCUGUGGUACGAUCCACACAGUAUGUUUGGUUCUCAGUACGUACCAACCCCAAUGCUUGGGAUUAAAGUUUGUCAAUUUACCAGUUCAUGUGCCCGGAAAUGAGACUGUUGGUAUUGCUUAUAGCUUGUUUUCCCCAAGAUGAGUCAGAUGCCAUGACAUCAAAAGCCAAAUAUGGGG
This 322-nucleotide long non-coding RNA is filed under the name Elaeis guineensis (African oil palm). RNAcentral's name for it is "long non-coding RNA (EGUI_LNC076948)". Lineage: Eukaryota; Viridiplantae; Streptophyta; Magnoliopsida; Arecales; Arecaceae. The record is from RNAcentral.